RNAcentral lists this long non-coding RNA (595 nucleotides) under Citrus x clementina. RNAcentral describes it as "Citrus clementina (C. clementina) long non-coding RNA (CCLE_LNC001341)". The record is from RNAcentral. Lineage: Eukaryota; Viridiplantae; Streptophyta; Magnoliopsida; Sapindales; Rutaceae.
AAUUUAGAAGAGAUGUUAUAAAAAUUUUGAGGGUGAGGCUAUCAUAAGUCUUGACAUUUAAUUUCGGACAGUUUGACUCAAUAAAAUAUUCAAUUAACCCAAUUUCUCGUGACUCCCAUCAAACAAAGAUUUAAAUUUAUAGUUUUCCUUUAAACUCCCAUUUUAAUUGCUAAAAAUAUCCUUUUUAUAUCUAUUUUCUUCGUCAAUCUCAAUGAACACAAGAGUUUUGCAUGAUUAUAUCCUUUCCAAAAUAAUUGCUUACCCGUGAACUUAAGAAAUGAUCCUUAAAAGAUUAUUACUUUGGUAAUUAAUAUAAAUUUAUUCAUUAGACAGUCUUGUCCUGUAGAAAGUUCCUCAAUUUUGACUUGGUAUUAUGCAAAUAGACUUUUUGAGUUUCGUGCAAAAAUUAAUUCAAUACCACCCUUUUGCAAUCAAAAUUUGUUAAUUUGGUACAAGUUUUUUAGUAGAUUCUUGCACUCCUCCAAAAUUAUCUUAAAAUCUCUCUUUUAAUUAUACUUACCUUCAUUUUAAUAAUAUUCUUUUUUUUAAUAAAUAAACACUCUUUUCAUUUUAAAUUGUUUAAACUCUUUACAAA